Papaver somniferum (opium poppy) is the source of this 2131-nucleotide RNA transcript. It is a transcript of the gene named cell division topological specificity factor homolog, chloroplastic-like, with no coding region annotated. NCBI's taxonomy places the organism in Eukaryota, Viridiplantae, Streptophyta, Magnoliopsida, Ranunculales, Papaveraceae. The record is from RefSeq and is a predicted model, not a curated record. The transcript has 5 exons.
UUACAGUUAGUCACUUUCAAUUUAGGUUUAUUCAAAAUUCAAGCUUGAAAUUUUUAUGUUGAAAACAAUUUUGGGUGAGAUCAACCGAAUCUCUUCUUAUUUCCAGCAAUCUGGGGCUUCAUGUGAUUAGAAUUUUCUGUACAUAACUGAACUUGGACUCGGCAUUUAUACUGGUCGUUUGGGUCUUUCACCAUCUUAGACGGCUAAUCUUACCAAUCCUAGUCUUCAUUUCUUAAUGUGUUGUUGUGAGAACUUGUUUAUAGAAGCUUGGAUAUUGAAACAGAACACUCCAUGAAUGUGCUUCUAUACGUAAUUGGUUUAUGUUGAAUUAGUCUGUAUCCCGCUUCCAUACCAACAAUAUUGUUUCUUCAAUGAAAAGCUAUAAAAUUUUCAUGUUCAUUUAAAUUAUGAAGCUUAAUUGUUAUCCAUCUAAAAUUUCUGAUUGCACUUGUUAAUGACAUUAAAAGCUCCACUUUUAGACUGCAGAAUAUAAGGCUCGUGUUGCAAAGAAGUUUCCAAUUGCCACUUUUUUCUUCCUUGUGAUGCUUUAUUCAUCUUCCUGUAAGGUCUGGCUGCAUAUAGGAUUAGAGGCAGUAUUUUGUAUACGUUAAAUGUUCACGUUUAACAUAGUUCAAGAAAGUAUACGUUAGAUGUAUCAAAGUGUUUCGAACUAAUAGGUAGUUGGCCAGCUUUAGGGGUCAGGAAAUGCAUAAUGUUUGUACAGAGACCAGGUGGGCGACUGGAGAUUUUUGAAUGAAGCCGAAACUCAUGGAACUUGUUUCUUUUAUAAAAUUUGUUCUUAAUGGAGAAAGAAUGAAAUCAACUACCCGACAGAAUGGUAGGGUUCAAUACUUCUCUCACUGGAAAAUCAGGCGUACUUAAGAUCGUUUCCCGACCGCCACAGUCAUUUCGGAUCACGGGAGAAAACAAGGUCUCCCCAGAACCCAUAGUUCCACAAGCAGAAAAUUUGCUUCUCGGAGCGAUUAACAUGAGCUUCUCAGAGCGUUUAAACUUAGCGUGGAAGGUUUUAUUCCCAUCGGUUCAACCAGCAAGAAGAAAGAACUCCAACGCAUACAUUGCCAAGCAGCGUUUGAAAAUGGUACUUUUUUCGGAUCAAUGUGAAGUAAGCGAUAAAGCAAAGGAGAAGAUCAUCAGCAAAAUCAUCUGUGUAUUAUCUGAUUUUGUGAUUAUAGAUUCACAAGAUAAAGUUCAGCUUAGUGUUUCAACAGAUCCCGAGCUUGGAACUUUUUACUCGGUUACCGUGCCUGUUUGAAGAGUCAAACCUGAAUAUCAGUUCAAGGAUGAGCAUGGAUAGGGGUGCACAUACCCUACCCAUAUCCGCCAACCCUACCCUACCCGCCCGUGUUUUAACCGUAUCCUAUCCUACCCACUAUUUGGCGGGUAGGGUAACGGGUAAAGAUUUUCUUAACCGCCGUUAGAUGGGUAGGGUGACGGAUAAAGCUCGAAAUUAUCCUACCUUACCCGCCUACCCGUCUAAUACUGAAAAGACAAAGUAACCCUUGUAUUGUUUUCUCCUCCUGCCUAUUUUUUUGUUAUUUUAAAACAUAAUAGGGAUAAAUUACAAAGUAAAUGGAUUUUCUUCAACAAACAAAAUGUCUUACUGCGUUUCUUUUGUGAAAUAAACUUUUCGUUAUCAAAAAAUUUGGUUGCAGUAUUCUCCUUCAACCAUUUCUCCUCUACCUUACUCGAUCUCAUGUUCAUCUUUCAAGGUCUCGUUUAAAACCCUUUAAUCGGUUGGUUCAAGGAUACGACCUCGAGUUGAAGUACAAUUCCAAAUUCAUCAAAGAUAUUUCUUAAGAGAAACGAUGCUGGUGACCAUUUUCCCUCACUUGCAAUCUGCUUAGGCUUUGAACUAUUAAGUUUUACCAUGGUUAAGGACACCGAUUGACAUGGAUCCAUCUACAUUUGGAGCUGAAGAGAAGGAGGAUGACGUCUUAGAAUCAGAUUUAUUUGGUGAUCUUAGUACUUAUUCCAUCAUCGUAGAUGAUGAUUGAAGAAGAAGGUCAAUAUGAAGAGCUUUUGGUGAUGAUACUGUUAUAUGAAGAAUACAACUCUUUUCUUGAGAAUAUUUUUGUUUGUACAUUUUUUAUGGUUAUGCUUUUGUUUCUAA